This 385-nucleotide unclassified non-coding RNA is filed under the name Hevea brasiliensis (rubber tree). The record is from RNAcentral. Lineage: Eukaryota; Viridiplantae; Streptophyta; Magnoliopsida; Malpighiales; Euphorbiaceae.
CAGCAACCAAGUGGAUUCAUGUGGAUUCAUUUGACAAAACAGUGGAUUCUGAAGGAGGACAUUGUGCUGAUCAUAACGAGAAUUGUGAGAGAUGGGCUGCACUUGGGGAAUGCACCAAGAACCCAGAAUAUAUGGUUGGAAGUACAGACCUCCCAGGAAGCUGUAGAAAGAGCUGCAAAUCUUGUUAACUUGUUUCUUCCACUUGAAUCAGUUCAAAAACACACUAGUUCUUUCUCUUUUUCGUUUGUUUGUCUCGUGUUUUUUCAGAUGAUAUCAUCUGUCGGGUCGUGUUCUUGCUAUUUUACUCAAUUUUGCAAGUAAUCUUGUACUAUUUUCUUUCUUCUUUGUGGGUGUAUAUGUAAAACAUUACGAGACUCUAAUUAGG